RNAcentral lists this ribosomal RNA (253 nucleotides) under uncultured bacterium. RNAcentral's name for it is "partial 16S ribosomal RNA". It matches the Rfam family "Bacterial small subunit ribosomal RNA", at positions 524 to 776 of the family's 1533-position model. The record is from RNAcentral.
UACGUAGGGUGCAGGCGUUAAUCGGAAUUACUGGGCGUAAAGCGUGCGCAGGCGGUUUGCUAAGACAGGUGUGAAAUCCCCGGGCUUAACCUGGGAACUGCAUUUGUGACUGGCAGGCUAGAGUAUGGCAGAGGGGGGUAGAAUUCCACGUGUAGCAGUGAAAUGCGUAGAGAUGUGGAGGAAUACCGAUGGCGAAGGCAGCCCCCUGGGCCAAUACUGACGCUCAUGCACGAAAGCGUGGGGAGCAAACAGG